RNAcentral lists this transfer RNA (69 nucleotides) under Dipodomys ordii (Ord's kangaroo rat). It matches the Rfam family "tRNA". Rfam says of the family: Transfer RNA (tRNA) molecules are approximately 80 nucleotides in length. Their secondary structure includes four short double-helical elements and three loops (D, anti-codon, and T loops). The record is from Rfam by way of RNAcentral. Lineage: Eukaryota; Metazoa; Chordata; Mammalia; Rodentia; Heteromyidae.
GGGAAUAUGGCUCAGUGCUAGAGCGCUUGCCUAGCAUGCAUGAAGCCCUGGGUUCAUUCCUCAGUACCA